This 478-nucleotide ribosomal RNA is filed under the name uncultured bacterium. RNAcentral's name for it is "SSU rRNA". It matches the Rfam family "Bacterial small subunit ribosomal RNA", at positions 26 to 523 of the family's 1533-position model. The record is from RNAcentral.
AGGACGAACGCUGGCGGCGUGCUUAACACAUGCAAGUCGAGCGGAAAGGCCCUUCGGGGUACUCGAGCGGCGAACGGGUGAGUAACACGUGAGCAAUCUGCCCUUAGCUCUGGGAUAGCUCCGGGAAAACCGGGAUUAAUACCAGAUAUGACCACGGCCGACAUCAGCUGUGGUGGAAAGAAUUUCGGCUAGGGAUGAGCUCGCGGCCUAUCAGCUUGUUGGUGGGGUAAAGCCUACCAAGGCGACGACGGGUAGCCGGCCUGAGAGGGCGACCGGCCACACUGGGACUGAGACACGGCCCAGACUCCUACGGGAGGCAGCAGUGGGGAAUAUUGCGCAAUGGGCGAAAGCCUGACGCAGCGACGCCGCGUGCGGGAUGAAGGCCUUCGGGUUGUAACCGCUUUCAGCAGGGACGAAGCGAAAGUGACGGUACCUGCAGAAGAAGCGCCGGCUAACUACGUGCCAGCAGCCGCGGUAA